Molecule: non-coding RNA, 153 nt
Organism: Peromyscus maniculatus bairdii (prairie deer mouse)
Lineage: Eukaryota; Metazoa; Chordata; Mammalia; Rodentia; Cricetidae
Source: RefSeq, a predicted model, not a curated record
ACUGUCUUGCUCAGGGGCCUGCACUCUCCCACAGUGACGAUGUUGCGAUCUGUACAUCCCUGAAACAGGGGGACAGGUGCACAGACAUGUUCUUGUGGUGCUUCUCAAAGCGAUUGUACUUCCGGAUGUAAUGGAGGGAUCUGAAGAGCACAC